AUUGAACGCUGGCGGCGUGCCUAACACAUGCAAGUCGAACGCGAAAGGGGCUUCGGCCCUGAGUAAAGUGGCGCACGGGUGAGUAACACGUGGAUAAUCUGCCUUCAAAUUGGGGAUAACGGCCGGAAACGGCCGCUAAAUACCGAAUACGCUGACGAUGUAACAGUUGUCGGGAAAGACGGCCUCUGCAUAUGCUGUUGUUUGAAGAUGAGUCCGCGUCCCAUUAGCUUGUUGGUGGGGUAAGAGCCUACCAAGGCGACGAUGGGUAGCCGUUCUGAGAGGAUGAUCGGCCACACUGGAACUGAAACACGGUCCAGACUCCUACGGGAGGCAG
RNAcentral lists this ribosomal RNA (334 nucleotides) under uncultured Pseudomonadota bacterium. RNAcentral describes it as "bacterial SSU rRNA". It matches the Rfam family "Bacterial small subunit ribosomal RNA", at positions 30 to 351 of the family's 1533-position model. Lineage: Bacteria; Pseudomonadati; Pseudomonadota. The record is from RNAcentral.